Molecule: long non-coding RNA, 218 nt
Filed under: Nicotiana benthamiana
Lineage: Eukaryota; Viridiplantae; Streptophyta; Magnoliopsida; Solanales; Solanaceae
Description: long non-coding RNA (NBEN_LNC012747)
Source: RNAcentral
AAAGAAGAGCAUUGGGAUACAACUUUAUGGGUUGUUCGUCACUUGAAGGGAAUCUAGGACAAGGUAUUUUGUUGAAAGGAAAAUAUGAUCUUCGUCUCUAUAGAUGGUGUGACUUUGAUUGAGCUGGUUGUCCCUUGACUCGAUGCUCUUCACAUGUUGGUUUAUCUCGUCGGGUGACUCGCCCAUAUCUUGAAAGACUAAGAAGCAACAUACUGUCU